RNAcentral lists this ribosomal RNA (253 nucleotides) under uncultured bacterium. Its description in RNAcentral is "partial 16S ribosomal RNA". It matches the Rfam family "Bacterial small subunit ribosomal RNA", at positions 524 to 776 of the family's 1533-position model. The record is from RNAcentral.
UACGAAGGGGCUAGCGUUGUUCGGAGUUACUGGGCGUAAAGGGCGCGUAGGCGGCGCAUCAAGUCAGGCGUGAAAGCCCUGGGCUCAACCCGGGAAUUGCGCUUGAGACUGGUGUGCUUGAGUACGGGAGAGGAUAGUGGAAUUCCCAGUGUAGAGGUGAAAUUCGUAGAUAUUGGGAAGAACACCGGUGGCGAAGGCGGCUGAUCUGGACCGUAACUGACGCUGAGGCGCGAAAGCGUGGGGAGCAAACAGG